GCCCGCUAUCGGAGUCGAACCGAUGACCAUCGCAUUACAAGUGCGGKGCUC
Molecule: transfer RNA, 51 nt
Filed under: Syrrhopodon trachyphyllus
Lineage: Eukaryota; Viridiplantae; Streptophyta; Bryopsida; Dicranales; Calymperaceae
Description: partial tRNA-Thr
Source: RNAcentral